Molecule: ribosomal RNA, 520 nt
Filed under: uncultured bacterium
Lineage: Bacteria
Description: partial 16S ribosomal RNA
Rfam family: Bacterial small subunit ribosomal RNA
Source: RNAcentral
UGGGGAAUAUUGCACAAUGGGCGAAAGCCUGAUGCAGCAACGCCGCGUGAGUGAUGAAGGCCUUCGGGUUGUAAAGCUCUGUCUUUUGGGACGAUAAUGACGGUACCAAAGGAGGAAGCCACGGCUAACUACGUGCCAGCAGCCGCGGUAAUACGUAGGUGGCAAGCGUUGUCCGGAUUUACUGGGCGUAAAGGAUGCGUAGGCGGAUUUUUAAGUGAGAUGUGAAAUACCCGGGCUUAACUUGGGUGCUGCAUUUCAAACUGGGAAUCUAGAGUGCGGGAGAGGAAGAAUGGAAUUCCUAGUGUAGCGGUGAAAUGGCGUAGAGAUUAGGAAGAACACCAGUGGCGAAGGCGAUUCUCUGGACCGUAACUGACGCUGAGGCAUGAAAGCGUGGGUAGCAAACAGGAUUAGAUACCCUGGUAGUCCACGCCGUAAACGAUGAGUACUAGGUGUAGGAGGUAUCGACCCCUUCUGUGCCGCAGUUAACACAAUAAGUACUCCGCCUGGGAAGUACGAUCGC